AAACAGAUUAAUAUUUCUGUACUCGAUAUAAUUGCGAUGGGGGGACGGAGCAGGCUAAACAAGCAUGGCGUUGGUAGUCCAUGUGAAAGUGAGUAGGUUGGCGACUUAGGUAAAUCCGGGUUGCUUUAAGACUGAGACACGAGACGAGUCACUACGGUGAUGAAGUUGUUGAUGCCAUACUUCCAGGAAAAGCCUCUAAGCUUCAGAUUAUAUGGAAUCGUACCCCA
This 227-nucleotide ribosomal RNA is filed under the name Pseudoalteromonas sp. SR43-5. RNAcentral's name for it is "partial 23S ribosomal RNA". It matches the Rfam family "Bacterial large subunit ribosomal RNA", at positions 1422 to 1651 of the family's 2925-position model. The record is from RNAcentral. Lineage: Bacteria; Pseudomonadati; Pseudomonadota; Gammaproteobacteria; Alteromonadales; Pseudoalteromonadaceae.